CAGCCGCCACGGUAAUACGUAGGUGGCAAGCGUUGUCCGGAAUUAUUGGGCGUAAAGCGCGCGCAGGUGGUUUAAUAAGUCUGAUGUGAAAGCCCACGGCUCAACCGUGGAGGGUCAUUGGAAACUGUUAAACUUGAGUGCAGGAGAGAAAAGUGGAAUUCCUAGUGUAGCGGUGAAAUGCGUAGAGAUUAGGAGGAACACCAGUGGCGAAGGCGACUCUCUGGUCUGUAACUGACGCUGAGGAGCGAAAGCGUGGGGAGCGAACAGGAUUAGAGACCCCAGUAGUCCCUGUCUCUUAUAC
RNAcentral lists this ribosomal RNA (301 nucleotides) under uncultured bacterium. RNAcentral describes it as "partial 16S ribosomal RNA". It matches the Rfam family "Bacterial small subunit ribosomal RNA", at positions 509 to 807 of the family's 1533-position model. The record is from RNAcentral.